AGGCGCCUUGCCUGCCCGCCUGCACAGGGCGACGAGCCGCUUGAAGAUGGAUUGGGGUAGCUCCCCAUCCGGCUGAAGAUGUUCCCUGAUUAUGCCAUCUUUCCAACUUUUGGAAUCCUAGGCACUCUAUUGCAGAAUCGUCUUCUGUUGAAAAAAAACACCAAAAAAGGAACAUUAAAAAAUCUGCUUGCAUUUGUAUACCUCAUCAAAUGUGAAGUGCAUCAACAAGUCUGAGAAUUAGGAAUGUUUAAUGGCAAGGCCCAUUUCUGAAACUUCUACAAUGGAGAUCACUCUAAAACUAUUUAGGGUGCAAUCCUGAUCUUGUCAGUGGAGGGAGCUGUAGGAAGAUUCAAGUGUAGGAACUGCCCUGACCCACUGAAGUAGCAAAACAGCUUUGAAGAGGAGGAAAAGGGUGUGUCAGGGGAGGGAAGGAAGUUGGUGCU
Molecule: long non-coding RNA, 443 nt
Organism: Varanus komodoensis (Komodo dragon)
Lineage: Eukaryota; Metazoa; Chordata; Lepidosauria; Squamata; Varanidae
Exons: 3
Source: RefSeq, a predicted model, not a curated record